AUAGAAUUUUCAAUUCUUUUACACCGUUAAACUAGCAAGUCUCACAUACCGGCCGUUAAAAAUUGUCAAUUUUAUGAGUUUUUGAUCGUAAGGUAAAUGAUGUCGAAAAAUUAUAAAAUUUAAUUUCUAAAAAUUUUAAAUGCUCUAGAUAAUAUUUAACGGUAUAGAUCGUCGAUUCGGAAGCUCUAUCAUCGAAAAUAACUUAUGAGUACGAGGGCGGUCGUACUCAUAAUAAUAUAGUAGUCGGACUCAUAUAGAGUAGGGCUACUAUACUUUUAUGAGUAUUGGACCCUUCGUACUCAUAAGUUGUUCUCGAUAUUGGAGCUUCCGAAUUGACGAUCCACACUGUUAAAUAUAAUCUAGAGUAUUUGAAACUUCUAGAAAAUAGAUUUCGUAAUUUUUCAAAAUCAUAAUAAAAUCCAUCAAACGGACAUAAAAUGAAUGGUCAAAAUCGAACAACGUCCUAAAAAUAGAUGAUCAGAUCCUUCAAUUUAAGAUCAGAGUUAUUGAUCUUUAUCUAGGUAGUGAACAGAAUUUUCUAUCAAAAAUUCAACAUAUUCCAAUUCUCUUACACCGUUAAACUAGCAAGUAUCCCAUAUCGGCAGUUAAAAAUUAUCAAUUUUGUGAGCUUUUGAUCGUAAGGUAAAUGAUGUAGAAAUAUUAUGAAAUUUAAUUUCUAGAAAUUUUAAAUGCUCUAGAUAAUAUUUAACUGUAUAGACCGUUGAUUCGGAAGCUCUAUCAUCGAAAACAACUUAUGAGUACGAGGGUGAUCGUACUCAUAAUAGUAUAGCAGCCGGAUUUUAUAUAUAUAUAUAGAGUAGGACUGUUGUGCUCUCAGGAGCAUGGAGGCCUCCGUGCUCCUGAGUCGUUUUCGAUGAUAGAAUUUUCGAAUCGACGAUCGGCUCCGUUAGACUUGAUCUAGUGUAUUUGAAGUUACUAGAAAAUUUUUUUUGUAAUUUUUCGAUAUCAUUUACCUAGUGAUCGAAAGUAUUCAAAAUCAAAAAUUUUGAAUGGUUGAUAUCUACCGUUUUUAAGUUUAACGGUAUAGAAGUAUUCAAUGGUUGAUAUCUACCGUUUUUAAGUUAUUUUCAAUGAUGCGGCUUCCAAAUCGAUGAUCGGCUCCGUUAGACUUGAUCUACACUAUUAAAAGUAUUUGGAAACUAAAUUUCAUAAUUUUUCGGCAUCAUUUACCUAUCAAACGAAUAGUGUAAAAAUGAACGGCUGAAAAUAAAAAUUUCAAAAAAAAUGAUGAUAAAAGACUUGAAUUUAAGAUCAGGAGUACUGAUCUUACUCUAAAUAGUAAAAAAAAAAUCUGUAAAAGUUUGAUCAAAUUUGAAUUGUUUUACACCGUUAAAUUCAUAAAUGCAUCACAUCUACCAUUAAAAUUGUCAAUUUGAAACCUUUUGAUCACUAGCCAAAUGAUGUUGAAAAAUUAUGAAAUUUAGUUUUCAAAUAUUUUCAAUAAUGUAGAUCAAGUCUAACAGAGCCGAUCGUCGAUUUGGAAGCCGCAUCAUUGAAAACAACAUGGUAGCACGAAGGCCUCCGUG
This 1547-nucleotide long non-coding RNA is filed under the name Ananas comosus (pineapple). RNAcentral describes it as "long non-coding RNA (ACOM_LNC000107)". Lineage: Eukaryota; Viridiplantae; Streptophyta; Magnoliopsida; Poales; Bromeliaceae. The record is from RNAcentral.